This 618-nucleotide long non-coding RNA is filed under the name Pandoravirus salinus. Its description in RNAcentral is "putative ncRNA". The record is from RNAcentral.
CAAACACCGACAGCCACGCGCCGUCGAGUACGGCAAAGUCGGCCUUGGGCAUCACCGCGAGUCGCGCGCGGUACUUUGUGUGCGCGUCCUUGAGCGGCAGUUUCUUGGGCACCGACGCGACGCUCUUGGUCUUGCCGGCUGUCUUGGUCGCGCCCGACGACGAUGAUGACUUGCCGGCCUUGCCCGCGGCCUUUUUCGUCGUCUUGCUCGCGGCGCUCUUGGCGGCGCUGGCCUUGGUCGGCGGCGUCUUUUUGGACUUGGCACCUGCGACCUUGGUUGUGCCGGCCGACUUGCCCGCGGCGCCGGUCGAUGACUUGGUCGACGAUUUGGCAGACGCCUUGGUCGAUGUCUUGCCCGCAGCCCUGGUUGAUGCGCUUGUGCCGCUCUUUUUCGCCUUGGUCGAUGCGCUUGCGCUGUUCUUUUUCGUCUUGGUCGAGGCCGACGUGCGCGCCCUCUUGGCCGGCGGUUCGCCGCCGCCGCCGCCGGCAAUGGCUUCCUUGGCCGCCUCCGAGGCCGCGCGCUUGCGCGCCUUUUUCUUCUCGGCGAUGGCCCUCGCCUGGGCCGACGCGACGCGCGCUUCGGCCUGGCCCGUGGCCGAGGUCGCGUGGAUGAUCUCGU